RNAcentral lists this long non-coding RNA (3457 nucleotides) under Schizosaccharomyces pombe (fission yeast). Lineage: Eukaryota; Fungi; Ascomycota; Schizosaccharomycetes; Schizosaccharomycetales; Schizosaccharomycetaceae. The record is from RNAcentral.
AUUUUCCUGAGGCAUAACAGUUCAAAGAUGUAACUUUUUAGGGGAGAUCAAAAUUAAAAAAAUUUGUCAUCAUCGUGUAUGUGACAAUAUUAUAAAACAAGCUUGCUCCCUCAACGUCCCGGUACUCGAGAGUUAACGGAUUUUAGAGCAUCAGUCGCUGGUUUCUUGGCAGAAGAGUCCAUAGCAGGAGUAUUCAGCGCACUUCGAUUGAGUCCGAUAUGGGAUUUAACUAAAUGGCCACUAGCAAGUGCGGAACACAAAGACAGUUCACCAGCCAUUACGGCGGCUGCAACGACACGUGCUAGUUGACGAGAAUUAUCACCGGGAGAGGUCAUAUGGGCACCUCGCACACCGAGCAAGUCAAGCAUAGCACCUUGCGGUUCCAAAACCGUUCCACCACCAAUUGUUCCAACUUCAAUGGAUGGCAUUGACACGCUAAGCUGAAGGUUACCAUCAACAUUAUCCAUCAAAGUUAUACAAUUACUGCUUUCAACAUUUUGGGCAGGGUCUUGACCAGUUGCUAAAUAUACUGCCGUGACAAUGUUAGCAGCAUGAGCAUUAAAUCCUCCAACGCUGCCAGCCAUAGCACUACCAAUGAGGUUUUUGUCAACAUUUAAUUUAACCAAAUCUUCAACAGUAGUUUUCAAUACCGAUUUGACAGCAUCACCAGGAAUAAUAGCUUCAGCAAUAACACUUUUACCACGACCAUCAAUCCAAUUAAUAGCAGCAGGCUUCUUAUCUGUACAAUAAUUCCCUGAUACACUGAUCACUUGCAUGUCAUCAAAACCAGCGUCAUUGCUCAUUACUACAAGUGCAUGCUCAACACCUUUGGAAAUCAUAUUCAUACCCAUAGCAUCACCGGUAGACGUACAGAAACGGAUGAAAAGACGAGUACCAGCUAGAGCAGUCUUAAUAUGUUGAAGUCUAGCAAAACGGCUAGUAGAGUUAAAAGCCUUCUUCAUAACCUCUUGGCCUUCAGGGCUAUCCAACCAAAUUUUAGCACGACCAGCGCGCGUCAAAUUCGGGAAAGCCACACAUGGUCCACGGGACAUUUGAUCACGAGUCAAUACAGUAACAGCACCACCACCAGCGUUAAUAGCUUUGCAUCCACGCAUAGUAGAAGCAACCAAUGCACCCUCAGUAGUAGCCAUAGGGAUAUAAAAAGGCUUACCGUCAAUAAUGAGAGGACCAGCUACACCAAGGGGCAAGGGCAUGUAACCUAUAACGUUUUCACAACAUGCAUUCAAAACCCUAGAGUAAUCGUAAUGAUAGACGGGGCAAUUAGAGCUUUCAAGUGUCUUCGUCCUAGAUGAACGGGAGACGACCGUUCGGCGAAUUACAACAGCUCUGGUAACGUCUUUAAGUACUCGUUCUAAAGCAUAAAGAGGGAUUUUUUUAGCUAAGGUUAACUGCACAACUUCUUCAUCAUUUAAAGUUGAAAUUUGACCAUUGUUGUAAAGAGUGAUACAUUCCUCAAGCGAACGUACAACGGAUUCUUGAGCGAUUUCGUCUUUCUGAAUGUCAUCAAUGGAUGAACUAUUCGACGAAGGAAUAUACUUAACGACUUCAACAACUUUUUCAACCACCUUUUUCUCAGGUUCCUCUUUGAUGGAGUUCAAUCGAGCAGCGUUCAAAAGAAAAACGUUGACGGCAAUACUCAAAGAUAAAGCACAGACGAUCCAUUUUGACAAAAACGAAGCACUGAUGUAGUGAGACCAGUUGUUAAUAAACGAAUGGAUAGUAGAUAGAAAAGAAGUGCUGGAUAAUUCGGCACCGUAAAAAACAGCUGGUAGUAAACGGACGCUUGGUGAUUCAAUGUUGGACAUUGAAGAAAUAGCAGAAAGAACGUCGUCAAACACUCCAUCAUCCAAAAGCCUUUGUGACUUAAAAUCGGGAUAUUGAGAGCGAACAAGAGGAAUUAAUCGAGCAGCAGCAGCAGAAGUGGCAGCAUAAUGUUUGAACGGAAUAGAACAAAGUUCAAACAAAUUGAAGGCAAUGAAUAUGAAAAGAAUGAUUUUGGUUCCAUAUCUAACUUUAAAAUACCGUGACCCUGCAGAAGUAGUAGCCGAAGAAUCGUUGCCGUCUGCAACAUGACGAGCCGUAGACUCAGAGAGACCCUCUUCUAUAAGAACCUUUCGAACAUCAUCCUUAGCAUUAUAGCGGCGCAUCUCAAGUUUCAGGGUGAGUAUGGCGACAAAGAAAGAGAACAGUAAGAGUAAAUCAUAAAUCAUGACAGCAGCAAACAAAAAGAAUUGUUUGAUACCAAAAUUACAAUACGAAAAAAUUGCCAAAACGACUAUUCCAAAAGAAAAAUGACGGAGGAUAGGCGGUGCAGCGUUGCGGCAAGCCUUUGCAAUAUCUUCAUGCAUAGGAGAAUGGGAGUCAGAGACAGAGCAUCGAGUGAUAACUUGCCGCGUUAAUUCUGCAGCUUUAUCAAGGGCAACCACAUUUAUCAGAAAAGGCAAACUUUCAAUCAACGAGACAAGGCUAAUCCGUACACCAGAUGCACGUACCAAAGUCAUUGCGAAUUGAACAGAGAACAAAGUGGAAAGCAGGACACUAAAAAAUAGCCAAAAUUUGGAUCCUAGACGACGCAUCUUAAGGUAAAGAGACACAAUGGAUAUCAACAUGCAAGCAUAAGCAGUACCAACAAUUAACAGUUCGGUCUUAGAAGCUUGGCUAGCGAUCUUUAAAGUAUUCAUCCAAGUGCGAGCGAUCAACUGAAGUAACCACGACCAUGAAAUGCCGUGUUCACGAAUUGCAGGAAGAAUUCUUUGAAUGACAGUACUAGAACUGUCAAGGAAGUAAUCGAUGGGCGGAUUGGCGAGAUUCGAUGGUAAUGCAAUACUAGAUACAGUCCAAUUGCCGACCUCUUUAAAAAAGAAAUGGCAAGCACCGGAAGCGUCAUGGAAAAUGCAGUCAUUACGAUAUGGCUCUACCAAUUGAGCAACAUCGACCUUUGCAUUCGCAGGGUAAUACCAUUGGGUGAUAUCAAAAUCAACAAAUCCUUCUCCACCCAACUCUGCGGCAGGAAUUUGUUCCCAAACCGAGGCAUCCUCACCUUGGACACUACUUAGCUUUAAAAUCAUCUCGUUAGGUAGACGAGUGUUCGGAAAUCCAUCCAAAAUACCAAAUCGUUUUAAAGCACGAAUUAAUACUGGGAAAUCUUCUUGAGUUAAGGCUUCCAAGAAGGAAAAAUAUGCCAUAGAGACAAGGAUGCCCACAAUGGCAAUCACUUGAAUUGGAUACCGAGCAGCAAGUUUAUAAAUCAUGUUAACUGAAAAACUUAUGACAAAAAGCUAACAGUUCUCCUUUUCUUUUGCGACAAUUAAAAAAUCAAGGACAAGCGCACACGGUUGAUGAAUACGUACAAACACGUAACGCAAACACUUUAACUUAUUGAAACCGAAGAGCAGACAACUGUAGCAAUUAAAUGAAGAUUAUAAAUUAUUCGUUG